ACGCUGGCGGCAUGCUUUACACAUGCAAGUCGGACGGCAGCACAGGGAAGCUUGCUUCUUGGGUGGCGAGUGGCGAACGGGUGAGUAACAUAUCGGAACGUACCGAGCAGUGGGGGAUAACUAAUCGAAAGAUUAGCUAAUACCGCAUAUUUUCUGAGGAAGAAAGCAGGGGACCUUUGGACCUUGCGCUGUUUGAGCGGCCGAUAUCUGAUUAGCUAGUUGGUGGGGUAAAGGCCUACCAAGGCGACGAUCAGUAGCGGGUCUGAGAGGAUGAUCCGCCACACUGGGACUGAGACACGGCCCAGACUCCUACGGGAGGCAGCAGUGGGGAAUUUUGGACAAUGGGCGCAAGCCUGAUCCAGCCAUGCCGCGUGUCUGAAGAAGGCCUUCGGGUUGUAAAGGACUUUUGUCAGGGAAGAAAAGGGCGGGGUUAAUACCCCUGUCUGAUGACGGUACCUGAAGAAUAAGCACCGGCUAACUACGUGCCAGCAGCCGCGGUAAUACGUAGGGUGCGAGCGUUAAUCGGAAUUACUGGGCGUAAAGCGGGCGCAGACGGUUACUUAAGCAGGAUGUGAAAUCCCCGGGCUCAACCUGGGAACUGCGUUCUGAACUGGGUGACUAGAGUGUGUCAGAGGGAGGUAGAAUUCCACGUGUAGCAGUGAAAUGCGUAGAGAUGUGGAGGAAUACCGAUGGCGAAGGCAGCCUCCUGGGAUAACACUGACGUUCAUGCCCGAAAGCGUGGGUAGCAAACAGGAUUAGAUACCCUGGUAGUCCACGCCCUAAACGAUGUCAAUUAGCUGUUGGGCAACAUGACUGCUUAGUAGCGAAGCUAACGCGUGAAAUCGACCGCCUGGGGAGUACGGUCGCAAGAUUAAAACUCAAAGGAAUUGACGGGGACCCGCACAAGCGGUGGAUGAUGUGGAUU
Molecule: ribosomal RNA, 925 nt
Filed under: uncultured bacterium
Lineage: Bacteria
Description: bacterial SSU rRNA
Rfam family: Bacterial small subunit ribosomal RNA
Source: RNAcentral